AGCAAACCCAUAAUCUUGUCAGCAAUCUCUGCCUCUGGCAUGUGUUUACCGGAAGGGUCAGUGGCCACAAUCAUGUGGGAAAGUAUGUCCUGCAUCGGAGCUCCUGUGGCAAUCGCUGCCUUCUUCUCACCAAUUACUGUUUUAAGCUCCUUUCUGAUUGCAGCUGCAGCCCUGCUAGCUCUGUGAAAAAUGGUUCCAGGGAAAUUUACGGGAAUAGAAUGCAUACCCAG
Molecule: unclassified non-coding RNA, 230 nt
Filed under: Hevea brasiliensis (rubber tree)
Lineage: Eukaryota; Viridiplantae; Streptophyta; Magnoliopsida; Malpighiales; Euphorbiaceae
Source: RNAcentral